UACGUUAUCUCCCUUUCCCUUUUUCUCUCUGUCCCUCCCUCCUUCUUCCUCUCUAUUCUUCCCCUCCCCUUGUUUUUAUGCCUGAUUAUGUGGACACAGACAAGGAUUAAAACAGGGCACCUGCCCUUGAGGAGUUUACAAUCUGCUGGGCUGAGGAUCAACACAUGUUCAAAAAGAGAGGAAAGAAGUCAAGGGAGAUCAUGCCAGAUGGACUUAAUUUCAAUGAAGAACAGGAGUCCUAAAGAUUAAGAAGAGAGGUCUUCCUGCCUGUAAGAAGGAGGCACUCUCUGCUUCUGUCAUGUGCUAAGCUUCGUCAAACAGAUUAUCUCUCUAAAGGUAGAGGCCUGUGAUUGACCGCUGUACCAAUGACUGAGCAGACAUAAAAGUCAGCCUGGAUGGCUACCACCACUAAUCAGAUUUGUCUGCUGAUGCAAGGCCCUUCAGUCAUUCCAGAACUGGUAAAUGGAGUCACCCUGAGGACAGGCCCUGCUGCUGAUUGAUGUCCAGUGUGGGCAGCUCUCUUGGCUGCUCAACAUUCAGAGAGGCUCUCCUUGUUUCAGUGCUAAAUGAUUGACAGUCAGGGUGAGUAUUUCAGGAGGAAGAGUCCCCCGCCCACUCCAGCCAUGUGGCAAAGGUAUUUGCUUCCUUGGGAAGGAAGUGAUUUAUCUGUGGGAGAACACUGUUUGGGCAAAGUUGCGUAGGAACAGCGUCUGUCUCUGCAAGCAUGUGUGUAUGUGAGUGUGGGCAUAAAGCAGCAAGAGUGGAAGGUAAAGACAACGUGAACGUCAUAAAAGAACACUUCUUUUUACAAAUGCUUGAAAACAUUCGAUGCUGAAAGACUUCAGACCACAUAAAUGAAUUUGCACCUAAUUCAACAUAGCUAUACUUCUUUCUUUUUCAGAAUUAAUGAGCCUGCCUUAUCAUUAGUUUUAUCAUAGAAACUAUCACAGAGAAGAAACCAUCUUAGAGAGAAAUCGGUGGAAGACAAGAUGAAAAAGGAAAAAUAAAAAAGACUGGAGGCAGGGGAACAUGGAGAAUGCAAGUGUGUUUGCAUUUGCACCAAGUUUGAGUUGAAAGGCUUUAUAAGGAUUUUGAGCAGCUGUAUAAGUAGUUAGAGCUAGAUAUGUGUAUAUGUGUUGCCAUUAACCAAGUUACUUCAACAUUAGCCUUAUGAUUAUAUGCCCUAGCAUUCAGAUUCAAGGAAGAAACAGUUUCUCUGGAGAAUUUUGUUCCUUAGUGACUGAUUUCAGUUGAUUUCAAGGUAAGCCAGGUAUGUAACUAACUUUUUAAAUUUAGAUGAAUAUAAGUUUAUGUUAUUAAUGAUUAUUUGUUUAUUCAUAAAAUUGACACUGACAUGUUACUAAAAUACAAGAAUCUCAAUUUUAUAUUGAAGAAAUUAAUUCAUUAGGUCAAACACAUAAAAAUUCUGAAGUGAAAAUGAUUCAUGUGUCAAGUGGUCAUAAUGUAAGACCCCAGUAAAUAUUCCACAGUAGGUUGAGCUAAUGGCAGUUGCUUCUCAGUACACAUUCAAACAUAUUUUCUCACAAUCUAGAGAGUUCAUCUACACUGGGCAGAAAGGGCUAGAUUGAUUAGCAACCAAAGGCCUGAGCUCCAUCGCUGGUUGCAUAACAAUAGCUGUGUGACCUUUGAUAAGGUGCUUAGCCUCUCUAUGCCACUGCUUUCUCACCUGUCAUGUAAGUGUAACAAUGUCUUUCUCACCUGUCUCAUAUUAUUGCUAUGCAGAAGAAAUGAGAUUUCAUUCUGGAAGUUCUUUAAGCCCCUGAACAAAAUGCAAGUUUUUAUGGAUCCACACACACAUACACUAUUCAUGAUCAUGAAUACAUAAUGUACUCUGUUUUGAAUAUGCUGUAGGUGUUUUGUGCUUUGAAUGCUUGUGCCUGGAGAUCCCAGCCCAUAACAGCACACAAUAGGUGUCCCCUGUGGGGGUAACCCACAGAGUAUAACUCCCAGAGUAUAACCCAGGUGAUAUUCUGCCACACCUGUGCUCUGACAGAUGGUGGUGUGGAGAGAGAAAUUUGCCACAUCAACACAUGCCAAGGUAAGGAGAACAGAGCCACGUAAUAGCAACACCAAAGCCUGUCUGUCCAUUAAGCCAAGUCAAAUGCCACUUUCUUCACAUAGCUUUCUGGGGCUUCUUUCUCCUCCUGAAGGAAUUAAUUUCUUCUGAAUCUGUGUACUUGUUUCACUCUGUCGAUGUGGCCUUGAACUUUCCGUACCCAUGCCAACCCCAACAGCAUUCAGCUGGCACCCAAUAAAUAGGAUUCCAGCUCUCUUAGAGUCUGCAGCCUCAGUUCUGAAAUUCUGGCCUGACCCUGAGUCAUUCCUCAGAUUAGAUUUCACCCUAUUUGUAUUCUCCUGCCUUGCAACUUCCAGCCAAGUCAAUACAUAGUUACCAAGCACUUGCUAUUUGCUAGGAGUGUGCUAAAUUAUGGGGUACGGUAAUGGACAAUAAUUCAUGUCUUUUGCUCUCUUGAAGAUUAGAACCUAAUGAGGCUAUAAACAAUUAAACAAUUUCAAUCUUCAAACUAAGGAAUUUAUAGGGAAAUUUUCAAAAAGGGUCCAGUAUGAGAUAUAUGAGAUCUAUGGGCUGAGAAGGUGUUAAUUAGGUGAAAGUCUGUUUAGAAAGGCAGAAUGUUCCAAGUAAUACAUCUAGGCAACAAAGGAGAACCUGUUACAUUUAAGAAAUGGAAAGACACUCGGUUUGGACAAAGCUAAGUACUAAGCAAAAGCCAACUUCUUUACCUAUUUCUCUACUUCCAGCUUCACCUUAUAUUUGGUACCUUCAUACUUAAUGUUGGGCUCUGUAACUCCCUCCUGUACAGCCUCUUAAUCACCUCCCCAGUUUGGUCAACACCAAGAUCCCAGUUCCUUUUGAUCCCCAAACGGACUAAUUUCCUCUUGCCUUAUAAAUGGAAACUGAUCUGUCUCAAUGUUUUUUUUUUUAACAUGUAAUUUGCAUCACAAUGAUCCAAUUUGAGGGCACAUAUUAUUUUUCUUAUCAGACUGCCAAGGAACAGAUGAUCUUUGUAUUUCCUCCCAAGUACCUAGAAUAGUGCCUAACAAUACAUUUGUAUUUUCCUAUAACAAAUUUCUAUCAUGUCACUUUCUGGUUUAAAAUCCUUCAGUGACUCUGCAGUACAUUUUAGGACAAAACCCUAUUCCAAAAUACAGGCCACAAGUCCCUCAUGUUCCAGCCCCAUUAGCCUGCCAGCCUCACCAAAGGCAGAAGCCCUUUGCCCUCCUCACUUCCCCUUCCACUUACAGGAAGCACUCAACUUCUCAAGGCUUCUUGCUCCUUCCUGCCUUUGAGCUCCCUCACAUGCCAUUCUUUCUGCUUGCCCCACCCAGCCCCACCCAGCCAGACUCAGCCCUUCACUGUGGCUCAUCUUGGAGGUCUCAGGUUACAUAUCACUUCACAGGAAGGCUUUCCCCAAUACUCACUUAGUUGCUACUGCUACAAUAUGGCACUUAUUAUGCUUUACUGAAAUUACUUGUUGAAAUGUUUAUCUCUCCUGCUGAGGGUAUCUCAGCCUUGGUAUGAUUGACAUUUUGGACCAAAUCAUUCUUUGUGGCGGGGGCUGUCUUGUACAUGGUAGGUUGUUUAGCAGCAUCCCUGGCCUCUACCCGCUAGAUGCCAGUAGCACCUUCCCCAGUUAUGACAGCCAAGAAUGUCUGCAGACGUUGCUAAAUGUCUCCUGGGGGGGCAGUCACAUCCAUUUGAGAGUGACUGUGCCAGAUCAUUGAGAAGGUAAGGACUGUGUCUUGAAUAAGUAGUGAAUACCACUGUAUCACAACCUGGCAUUUAGUGGAAGGCUACUGAUCAUGUGUUGCAUGAAUGAAUAGAAGUUUUUACUAUAAGCUCCUACUGAAUGAAUGAAUAUUAGUAAGAAAACUGUGUCAGAAACACUGGUAGUUCAGAACCCUGCAUUUUUAUUUAAUGAAGGGUGGAACCUGCAAGAACAUGGUGGUCUCUUACUUUGGAACCUGUCUCCUCCUUGCCUGUUAAUCGGUCCUGGUCCUCUAUUCCCCCCACCCCCAAACAUACCUCUUUGGGCUGCCCUGUCCACCCAUCUCCCCUCUACCAAGCAGAAAAAAAAGGUUCCAGCUCCCUGAGCUUUCUUCUUCAAAGACAUUUAAGCUUUUAAUGCGAAUCCUGAUUAAUUAACAAGGGCACGGGACUUACAUGCAUUUCAAGUUGCUUUUAUCUCGUGAAGAAAAGAAGCCUUUUGGCAGAUACUUUCUGUUCAAUGUCUAGUUCAGUAUUUCAAAGGGCAAGCUGUGAUGGGCUGAGCGGGUUACCAUUUGUGUGUGUGUGAAGGGCAAUGACUAGUAAUUAAGGGACAGACCCCUUUAUGUCAACUUAAGAAAAAAAAUUAAUCUCAGCUUCAUUUCAAGCUGGGUUUGGUGUUGAAGGGCAGAAGCAAAAUAGAAAGGGGGUACACUGUAUGGUAAUGGCUGGAUCUCUUUGGCUUUGAAUGAAAAAGCUAAUAUUUGUUGAGAACCUACUGUAUACUAUAUCAGAUCCCCCCAGAACCCUGUGGAAGAGUCAAUAUAAUUUAAUUUUACAAAAACAAAGUUUGGGAGGCAUCAAGUUAUUUGUCCAAAAUACAACAAAUAGUCCAGCCAUAUUCAGAAUAUGGUAGAUCUGAAUACAUUCUUUCAUCCAAAACUUCCGGCUUAGUCAAUUGUCUGCUGCUAUAAUAGAUACCACAGACUGGGAAAUUUAUGAAGAAAAGAAAUUUAUUUGGCUUAUGGUUCUGGAGGAUGGACAGUCCAAGGUCAUGACACUUGGAUCUGUUCGGCCAUCUGGUGAAGACCUUGUUGCAUUCUCCCAUGGUGGAAAGAAGAAAGCAAGUGAGUACAAGAGAUAGAGAAAGAUAAGGGCAGAACUUACUCUCUUAUCAGGAGUCCGCUUCUAUAACCCAUUCUAAAAAUAAAGCAUUAAUCCAUUCAUGAGGGUAGAGCCCUCAUAACCUAUCACCUCUAAAGAUCCCACUUCUUAAUACUGUCACAAUGGCAAUUAAAUUUUAACGUGAGUGUUGUAGGGAACAUUCAAACAACAGCAACUACAACAACAACAGACGUCAGCUCCUGUGUGUCUUCCCUUGCUCAUCUAUGCCUACCAGAAUAGAAUGAAAGAAGGGUUUAUUUGAUCCUGUGUUCAAGUCAUUCAUUUAUUCCACUAGGCAAUCUGUCAAGAUCUCAUAGAUUAAGGGCUCCUACAGCAACCUGUACUCACCCUAUUUUACCCUUUAUCAUACAUUUUUGAUCAUGCAUGUGAUGGCUGGAACUCAGUCAUUUUGGACCAUGAAGACCAGACCCACACGCUGGGGCCUAAGAAGCAGAAGUAUGAAAGCCACCUGGAUCCCUGAAGACCAUGGAAUUGUUAGAACAAUUCUACUCUAUCUGUAGACUUGUUUUAUUUGAAAGAUAAGUAGAUUUCUGUCUUAUUCAAUUCACUGAUUUUGGUUCUUUGUUAUUUGCAAUCAAAUCUAAUUCCAGUAGAUACAACUCCUAAGUGCAGAGCACUGUUCUAGGGAUUGUGGGGCAUGCUGACAUGGGUCUCAUGCCUGCAUAGCACUCAUAGCCUGCAGAAGAACAGCAGUGCUGCCAUAUCUGAUGGUCAUUUGACACACUGAACUCCAGCCAUAUCAAUUUUCUUUUCAGUCCCCAAAUGGCAGUCACCACAAAAGAAGAAAAGAUAAAGCUCUUAGUGGGAUCUGAAUCAAGAGAUACCACUUACAGUGGAAGGAAAAAAGAUCAUUUUCAUGGAGGAACUGCCCUUGAAUUUCGCCUUGAAUAUUGAUGAGUAUUGGAAUCUGCAGAGACUGGGAUAAGGUUGGGAUGAGGUCGAACACUACAGGAACAGAAAAUAUGGAACAUGUUUGGGAGCAGGCCAGGGAUUCUGUCAUAUAAAGUGCAUGAAAAAGCAUAUCAUGUAAUAUUUAUGAUUAUUGCUCUGGAGUUAGACUGUUUGGGUUUGAAUCCCAGAUCCAGUGUUUACUAUCUAUGUGACCUCGGCUGAGUCAUGAACUUCCAUGAGCUCCAUUCUUCUCACCUUUAAAAUGAAGAUCACAACUCCUACCUUCUUGGCUUGUUACCAGAAUUAAAUGAGUUUUUAUGUGUGGAGGGCUCAUGAGAGUGGCUGUCCCAAAUAAGCAUUCUCUAAAUGUUAGAUAUGACUGUCAUCCCCUUAAAACUGCAAGAGUUAGUUGAAACCAUAGCAAGCCGAGCCAUGAAUGCCAUGUUAAUGCAUGUUAAUGCCAUUAUUAUAAAGGUACCAAAAAGCUGCUGACAGUUUGUGAGCAAAGUUGUGGAUGACAUUAUCAGAGCUGUAUUUUAGGAAGUCUUAAUAUGUCAA
Molecule: long non-coding RNA, 6382 nt
Filed under: Homo sapiens (human)
Lineage: Eukaryota; Metazoa; Chordata; Mammalia; Primates; Hominidae
Description: HSALNT0354628
Source: RNAcentral